Macaca mulatta (Rhesus monkey) is the source of this 1650-nucleotide non-coding RNA. The record is from RefSeq and is a predicted model, not a curated record. Lineage: Eukaryota; Metazoa; Chordata; Mammalia; Primates; Cercopithecidae.
GCUGACAGCACACCUCAGAACAUUUAAGUUAUAAUUGGAUGGUACCAAAAUGUUUAGAGUUUGAAAAGUUUCAAGGUGUUUCUCAUAAGCAUAUGCUAUUGGAAACUACUCUUAAGAGUGGAAAAAGCAGUCCAUUGUGAGCAGCCCUGUGAGGAGAGCGGUCCAUCUGAAAAGGAACUGAUAUCUCUCGUCAACAGCCAGUAAAAUUCUGAGGCCUGCCUAUAGCAUCUCAAUCCAAGGUCACUUCAGAAAUCUGGAGGCUUGUGUAACAGCACACAGGAUCAAAGGAAGGACCCUCCACUCAAGAAUAAUCUGUCAUGAUUGUGGAGAAUAUCAACAUUAUCCAAGACCUUAUUUAGGUUCCUUGAAAGCUGGCAUCUGUGCACCUUCUAUUCAGAUGGAAGGAAAACUGAUAUACUAUUUUCAAUGAGUUUUGGAUUUUCAAAGGGCACACACAGAGAUAAGAACUUUAGACUGCUUCUUGAAGAUAUAAUUCAAUGAUUUUAACCAAUAUUUAUACUAUCCAGCAUCACCUGGAUUACAGUCAAUCAAAUAAAGUGUAUGAACCAAGUAAUCACACAAUAUCUGCAUUGAUGUGUUGCCUACAUGAAGCAGACUGAUCUGAAUAACUCAUCAAAAACAUAAUUCACAUAUAUCUUGUUUACUCCAUUUGCCAACAUACUUUAUUUCAGAGAAAUUUUAAAUUAUAUCUCAGCUGUUUCUUAGAGCUCCUUUGUGGAAAUUACAUCCUAGUUUCUGUUCCAUACUUGAGUAAACUAUAGGCUUUCCAGUACAAUGUCCAUUGACCAAAAUCUGGAGCAAGAGAAAUAGUAUUAUGGCAGUUAGGACACAGUAGCUGGAGCCAAACUAUCUAGGUUCAAAUUUUCGCUCUGUCACUUACUAACUCUAUCCUUGAAUGUAUCGUUUACCCUUUUGCCUUAUUUUCCACAACUGUCAUCAAAGGGAGUAGUAAUAGUAUGUGUUAAGGUUAUCAAUUAAAUUGAAUGUGUUAAUAUAUGCAUCACUUAGAACAGCUGUGUGGUGUAUAUAUCUAUAUCUAUAUUUAUAUAUCUAUAUUUAUACAAUCAUCCCUCAGUAUCCUUAGGGGAUUAGGUUAAGGACUGACCACAAAUACCAAAAUCCAUGCAUACUCAAGUUCCGCAGUCAGCUUUAUGGAAAUCAUGGAUACAAAAUGUUGGCCCUCCGUAUAUGCAGAUUUAGCUUCCCACAAAUACUAUUUUUCUAUCUGCUUUUGGCAGAUGAAUGUGAAUGAGGAAUCCAGCAAUAAUAAUGGCCUACUGUAAUUAUUGAAAAGAAUCUGCAUAUAAAUAGAUCUGCCCAGUUCAAACCAUGUUGUUCAAGGGUAAACUGUAUAUCUCUUUUGGACUCUCCAUUUGGGAAGACAUGGACGCAGAGGAUUUCUUCCUUUGCUUGUUUAUUUUUAUGUGAGUGUGGGCCCACAUUUACCUCUAUUGGCUGAUCUAGAAGAUUCACAGAGGUUAUGUUCUUCAUCUUGCUAUCCCAACCGUCAGGUUCAAGACUUUGUAUUAUCUUUGUCUCUUACUUCACUGACUUGUAGAUGUCCCUGGUCCUUGAUCCAUCUUUGUGAAUUUAAUGAUUCAAACUCUCUUGUUUAUAGCAGGUUUAAAA